Non-coding RNA from Methylomicrobium album BG8, 28 nucleotides. The record is from Rfam. Lineage: Bacteria; Pseudomonadati; Pseudomonadota; Gammaproteobacteria; Methylococcales; Methylococcaceae.
GUUCACUGCCGUACAGGUAGCUUAGAAA